CCCGCUGAACUUAAGCAUAUCAAUAAGCGGAGGAAAAGAAACUAACAAGGAUUCCCCUAGUAACUGCGAGUGAAGCGGGAAAAGCUCAAAUUUAAAAUCUGACAGUCUUUGGCUGUUCGAGUUGUAAUCUGGAGAAGCGUCUUCCGCGCUGGACCGUGUACAAGUCUUCUGGAACGGAGCGUCAUAGAGGGUGAGAAUCCCGUCUUUGACACGGACUACCAGUGCUUUGUGAUGCGCUCUCAAAGAGUCGAGUUGUUUGGGAAUGCAGCUCCAAAUGGGUGGUAAACUCCAUCUAAAGCUAAAUAUUGGCGAGAGACCGAUAGCGAACAAGUACCGUGAGGGAAAGAUGAAAAGCACUUUGGAAAGAGAGUUAAACAGUACGUGAAAUUGUUAAAAGGGAAACGAUUGAAGUCAGUCGCGUCUACUUGGACUCAGCCUUACCUCGGUUUGGUGCAUUUCCUUGUGGACGGGCCAGUGUCCAUGUUGAUUGCUGGAAAAGGUUCAGGGGAAUGUGGCUCUUUUAGAGUGUUAUAGCCUCUGUUCAUAUACAGUAGUUGAUAUGGAGUGAUACAGCAUGCUUCGGCGGUGCUUGUACUGGCAUAAUGGCUUUAAACGACCCGUCUUGAAACACGG
Molecule: ribosomal RNA, 633 nt
Filed under: uncultured fungus
Lineage: Eukaryota; Fungi
Description: eukaryotic LSU rRNA
Rfam family: Eukaryotic large subunit ribosomal RNA
Source: RNAcentral